GAAUGCCGAAGCUGGUGUAGAGACGCCCGCAGAGAAGAGGGAACGUGAAAGGGAUUGUUUUGGUGGAGUAAGCGACGUCAACAGAACUUCUCCCUGCUCUGCCUUAGUGUCUUGUGCCAGCUGGAUUGUCUUGCUUUUGAGCCAUACUGUGCAACAUUAAUGUGGCUUUUGAUGACAGUCUGAAACAUGAAGAGCCUGCAGUUUGGUGGAUGUGAUUAGGAAAGAACUCAGAUUACUCUGGCCAGCAUCAGAACCAUGGGGAAGGUCAAGCACCAGGAUGAUGACAUGGACUGAAAGACGGCCUAUGACAUCCGUCACCAGAACACUGCACACCAGCCCAGUGAGAAGUUUACCAAGGUAUGUGGUAAUGGCGAUAUCAACACAACUUCAUUUUCAAGCUUCCCAAGAAUUUUGGAGAGAAAUCAUUCAAGGGUGUGUAAAGAAAAAAAAAUUCUUGGUGCACCAGUUUGCAUCAGCUUGCAACUACUACUGGUGUCUUGUGUCUACUCGUGGAGAAAUCAACAGGUACACCUCAUGUCUUCCACACAUCUGCCACUACUUUGCCUCCUUGAUGUCUCAGGUGGCUUGGGCUUCCCUGUGCAGAAAAAUCACAUUUCUUUACUGUAGGAGACUACAGUAGGGAGACUACUGUUUUUUUUUCUUUUCUUUUUAUAUAUAUAAAGGUGGCAUAUUUGCACACGUUCCAUAUAUCAUGAACACCUUACAUCCAACAUUAGUGUCUCUAAUGGUCCUCCAACCCAUCUCAGUUCAACUAUUUCGCAUUUUUUUUUUUAUAGCAAUAGGUGGUUUCCAACAUUAGAGUCUCUAAUGGUCCUCCAACCCAUCUCCAACUAUUUUGCAUUUUUUUUCUUUUAUAGCAAUAGGUUGUACUACUGUACAAGACAUUAUUAUAUUCACGACAAAAAGAUGCUGCAUUAAACAAAGACAGGAUGGCAUAUUGAGAGGAUGGAGGAGAAGAUUAAGUGUAGUGUAAAUAAAUAUUAAUGCAUGCAUGCAAGGAUGGCAUAUUGAGAGGAUGAAUGAGGAUUUUAAGUGUAGUGUGUAAAUAUGAAUAACUGCAUGCAUGCAAAAGAGGGGGAAAUAAGAGGGAGGGCAAGAAAUAAAGGGAGGAUGCAUAUAGCCAUUAAAUAGAGGGAGGAAAACAGAGGGAAGAUUAAUUUGAGGGAAGAUUGAGAGGCAGACAACCUGUCACAUUUGGAUGGGAGUGGAUGGUGUGUAAGAGUUAAGAGACCAAGUGUGUCAAGAGAUUAAGCUCACUAUAUGCACUAUAAACACAUCCUAAUCUUUAGGUCUAAAAUUCAUGUAACACUAGAAAUAGCUUGUCACCUUUAAAGUUGAGCCUUUUGGCCACCAUACACAAAACACAUUCAGCAGAUAAGUACAUAGGCACCCUGAUGACUGGUUGGACACCGUUACUUAGGUGUCAAUUGGAAAUUUGCGAUACCUCCAAGAGCCUCCGGAGGCCCGAGAGCAAGUUUGUGAUACUUCUAAGAGUCUCCAGAGAAAGAUAAGUGCAUUUGUGUUCAAAAUUUUUAUUAAAAAAAAUAAAUAAAAAUCACAAUAAAGAUUGAGUCUCUUGACUUUCUCGUACCUUUGCAGCUUUGUUACCAGCAUCUUGCCAGUCCACAAAGUCUAACACACUGGAGGUUGUUAGCGAGAUAUUUUACUAUUGUUACUAAAGAGCCUGAAGGUUACAGCAGCAGUACACCAUAAUCCCAAACAAAUCCUGGAAGAAAGAACACCAGAUCAGUAUGAUAUAAAGUUGGUCGGAGUAAUAAUAUCUUCAGAUUAACAGGAAUACUCAAUAGCAAAAAUAUACAAGGUCUUGCAAGUGCCAUGAGGAAUAACAUUCAAGAUAUUUUUAUUCUCUAAUGGCAAUGCUAAACAGUAAAAUACAAAUGGCUUGCAAGUGCUAUGAGAAAAAAAAUAUAUAAAGAGACCUAUUUC
Long non-coding RNA from Scylla paramamosain (green mud crab), 1968 nucleotides. RefSeq lists it as uncharacterized. The transcript is spliced from 6 exons. Lineage: Eukaryota; Metazoa; Arthropoda; Malacostraca; Decapoda; Portunidae. The record is from RefSeq and is a predicted model, not a curated record.